GGGACAUCAGUCAUCAGAUAAACGAGGAGGCUUCCUUUGGAGAUCAUCUCCCUCUUCUUUCUGGUUGUUUUUAGAUUUUGUUUCUCUUUUGUGUUCUUGAGUCUUACUACAAGGUGUGUAGUCUGCAUUUCUUUGAUUUUACCCAAUUCAGAAUCCUGGUGUCUUUAUUAAACUUGAGAAACUCCCAAUCGUUUUCUUGGGAGAGUACGUCUUCUCUGUUGUCUGUAUUAUCUUUUUUCUCAACUUCAACCAGACAUUUUCUGAGCUACUUUUUCUUGACAGGUGCUCUGUUGUAGAUGGGAAAGCUCCUUUCGGCAAGGGACUGUUCCUUGUAUUAUGGGGCAUUCUACAUUCCUGGUUCCCAGACACUAACCCGUGAUGAAAGUGCUCCACACUUUUCCAGACUCCCCUAAAGUAACACUGUGUCAACUCUUUGUCCCACCGUGACAAAUCUUUCUUCCCUAUAUCUCUUCUCACUUGUCAUCAUUUUUAAAACCAAUUUGCCUCUCUGUGUGUGCUGAGUUUUGAGAAAUUUAUUAAGUACUGCGUUCUGUCACCAAUUUUCCCUUCAGCUGGGUUUAGCAAUCUCUUCAACCUUUCCAGGCUGGGUGUAGUGAUGCACACUUGUAAUCCCAGCAGCUCGGGAGGCUGAGGCAGAAGGGUCAUGAGUUCAAAGCCAGCCUCAGCAAUUUAGCGAGGAGCUAAGCAGCUCAGUGAGACCCUGUCUCUACAUAAAAUACAAAAUAGGGCUGAGGAUGUGGCUCAGUGGUUGAGUGCCCCUGAGUUCAACCCCCAGUACUCCUCCCCCCAAAAAACCCCCAAACAAAAAACUUUUCCAUUGAGUUUUUAUAUUUAAUGUUUUUUUUUAUUUGUAGAAGUUUUAAAAAUAUGGUUCCUUUGUAACAGUGCUUGGUCAUCAUUAAUAGUGUUGUAUUAUUUUGUCAUAUUUAUAUUAUCUUCUUUUAUUUCUUUUAACGUACUCACUCUUUUAUAUUUAAUUGAGCCCAGUUUGCCAUUGAUUGAAACAUCACUGUUUAUAUGUCACUAAGAAAGAUUAGAGGAUCUCUCUGUGAUGGACAAGUGUUUUUAUAAUCUCCUGUACGGAGAGUUAUUUUUUCUUUUUGAUUCAGUAUACUGACGGCGUGGACAGAAUGUUAUCCAUUUUUAGAACCUGAUCAAAGAUGUCCCAUUAUUCACUGUGAUUUCCCUGUAAUCUGAAUCAAGACUUAAGUUUUAGGAGUUUAGUGAGAGGCUCAGUGUAGUAGUCAGCUUGGGCUGCUAUGACAAAAUGCAGCAGACAGGGCGGCUUGAACAACAGAAAUCUAUUUCUCACAGUUCUGGGGGCUGUCAGGAUUGGCAGGCCCUCUGCCAGGUGUGUAGGUGGCUGUCUUCUUGCUGUGUCCUCACAUGAUCUUUUCUCUGUGUGCACACAGAGAGCUCUGGCAUCCCUUUCUCUUCUCAUAAUGACACCAGUCCUCUUUGAUUAGGGCCCCACCUCUAUGACCUUAUUUAAUCUUAAUUAUCUCCUUAAAAACCUGGUCUCCAGGGCUAGGUUGGGGCAUCAACGUAUGCAUUUUGUGGAAGAACACCAAUAACUCCAUAAGAGAUAGUGACUCUAAUAUAAUUCAAAUUUCAAAGGAAAAUCUUGUUGCACACUAUAUAUAUAUACUACAUUAUAAUCUCACAAAUUAUUUUAUAAUUACUAAAAUUCUAUUUUUUCUAUCCAUAAUACUAUCUUUUUCUUUGCAAACUGAUACAUCAGGUGUGGAUGAUAUUGAUGUUUCCUUAUUGUCACAAGGAGACGUACUUUCAGCUGUGUGUCUCUUUACACAGUCUCCCAUCUGCUAGAGCUGCCAGCUACCAUAUGCAUUUUUAAGACAACGGCCAUCCUAAUCAGAGUCUGUGGACAUGAACAUGGAGUACAGCUAAGUGUCCUGUAGAGCAGUGGAACCUAUUUUCUGUCCAGGUCAAGCCUUGGUGGCCCUUCCUUGAUGACUCAGCCCAUCUGGCCCUCUGGGACUGUCCACGGCUUUAGGAAAGAGACUGCUUCUCCCCCUGGACCCUGCUGUCACUGGCUGCCCUGAAGCCCUAGUUCCUGGGCCAUAUUACUCCACAGUGGCCCUGUCAACCUCACCAGCAGGCCUGGCCGUUGUGCUCUCUGUACUUCUGCAGCUCACCGAGAUACUCUGGGUCUUUUCUGCUCCACGUGGCCCCUGGGGAGCGUGAGGGGUUAUUGCAGGAAAAAGACGGGUCUCCACUUGUUCCUUCCACCUCUAUUUUUCUUUCUUUUCUUCUCCCCAUUUUCUACUAAGGCAGAGCCUCUUGUGUUUCCCUGUCUUAUAUGUGACAUCUUCUGAGCUUUUUUAGGUCUGUGAGGCCUGGUUCUUAGUGUGUAAAUGGAAGCUUUAAAAUUUAGCACUUUUAUUCAACCAAACAUUUCCUGUAAGGAUACAAAUGAGAAAGAACCCUAUUUUCUUUUCUGGAAAUAAAUAGUAACAAGGAAGUUGCCAUUUGUCAUGUGUCCUGGUUCACUCUGUCACCAUCCUCCUCCACAUGGUACUUAAGGGCGCCCAGCAGAAGGAGGCUCCAGACCUCCCUCUCCUCUCCUGGGUCCUCUCCUCUCUGCACCUGAGUCCUCUCUACUGACAACAUGGGUUGCUGUGGCUGUGGAGGCUGUGGAGGCUGUGGUGGCUGUGGUGGUUGUGGUGGCUGCGGUAGCUGUGGCAGCUGUGGCUGCGGCAGCUGUGGCUGUGGUAGCUGCGGUGGCUGCGGUGGCUGUGGUGGCUGCUGUGGCUGCUGUGGCUGCUGUGGCUGCUGCACCCCCAGGACGUGCUGCUGCCGCCGCACCUGCUGCCGCUCCUGUGGCUGUGGCUGUGGGAAGGGCUGCUGCCAGCAGAAGUGCUGCUGCAAGAAGCAAUGCUGCUGCUAGGCAACCGUGGGCUCUGCCUCCGCUGAGAGAUGCUGAGUCCUGCUCUCCUCUUUUAGUGAGAUGCUCUUCCACUGCGCUCUGCUUCUUUCCCACACAUUUCUGCUUGGAAGCAGGAGGAUCUCCUGCAACUUACUCCUUUGGACUGCAUACUCAUCUCUUUGACCCAGUAGUUUAAAACCUUUUUAUAUAAAAAAAAAAGUUCCAAAGUAGGAAAUGGCCAUUAAAUAAUGUAACUGGAGCCCAGUACCUGACA
Molecule: long non-coding RNA, 3182 nt
Filed under: Marmota monax (woodchuck)
Lineage: Eukaryota; Metazoa; Chordata; Mammalia; Rodentia; Sciuridae
Source: RNAcentral